UACGUAGGGCGCAAGCGUUGUCCGGAAUUAUUGGGCGUAAAGAGCUCGUAGGCGGCCUGUUGCGUCCGCUGUGAAAUCCCGGGGCUCAACCCCGGGCCUGCAGUGGAUACGGGCUGGCUAGAGGCAGGCAGGGGAGAACGGAAUUCCUGGUGUAGCGGUGAAAUGCGCAGAUAUCAGGAGGAACACCGGUGGCGAAGGCGGUUCUCUGGGCCUGUACUGACGCUGAGGGGCGAAAGCGUGGGGAGCGAACAGG
This 253-nucleotide ribosomal RNA is filed under the name uncultured bacterium. Its description in RNAcentral is "partial 16S ribosomal RNA". It matches the Rfam family "Bacterial small subunit ribosomal RNA", at positions 524 to 776 of the family's 1533-position model. The record is from RNAcentral.